Molecule: ribosomal RNA, 2122 nt
Filed under: Klebsiella pneumoniae
Lineage: Bacteria; Pseudomonadati; Pseudomonadota; Gammaproteobacteria; Enterobacterales; Enterobacteriaceae
Description: bacterial LSU rRNA
Rfam family: Bacterial large subunit ribosomal RNA
Source: RNAcentral
GGGUUGUGAGGUUAAGCGACUAAGCGUACACGGUGGAUGCCCUGGCAGUCAGAGGCGAUGAAGGACGUGCUAAUCUGCGAAAAGCGUCGGUAAGGUGAUAUGAACCGUUAUAACCGGCGAUGUCCGAAUGGGGAAACCCAGUGCAAUUCGUUGCACUAUCGUUAACUGAAUACAUAGGUUAACGAGGCGAACCGGGGGAACUGAAACAUCUAAGUACCCCGAGGAAAAGAAAUCAACCGAGAUUCCCCCAGUAGCGGCGAGCGAACGGGGAGCAGCCCAGAGUCUGAAUCAGCUUGUGUGUUAGUGGAACGGUCUGGAAAGUCCGACGGUACAGGGUGAUAGUCCCGUACACCAAAAUGCACAGGCUGUGAACUCGAAGAGUAGGGCGGGACACGUGGUAUCCUGUCUGAAUAUGGGGGGACCAUCCUCCAAGGCUAAAUACUCCUGACUGACCGAUAGUGAACCAGUACCGUGAGGGAAAGGCGAAAAGAACCCCGGCGAGGGGAGUGAAAAAGAACCUGAAACCGUGUACGUACAAGCAGUGGGAGCACCUUCGGGUGUGACUGCGUACCUUUUGUAUAAUGGGUCAGCGACUUAUAUUCUGUAGCAAGGUUAACCGUAUAGGGGAGCCGCAGGGAAACCGAGUCUUAACUGGGCGUUAAGUUGCAGGGUAUAGACCCGAAACCCGGUGAUCUAGCCAUGGGCAGGUUGAAGGUUGGGUAACACUAACUGGAGGACCGAACCGACUAAUGUUGAAAAAUUAGCGGAUGACUUGUGGCUGGGGGUGAAAGGCCAAUCAAACCGGGAGAUAGCUGGUUCUCCCCGAAAGCUAUUUAGGUAGCGCCUCGUGAACUCAUCUUCGGGGGUAGAGCACUGUUUCGGCUAGGGGGUCAUCCCGACUUACCAACCCGAUGCAAACUACGAAUACCGAAGAAUGUUAUCACGGGAGACACACGGCGGGUGCUAACGUCCGUCGUGAAGAGGGAAACAACCCAGACCGCCAGCUAAGGUCCCAAAGUCAUGGUUAAGUGGGAAACGAUGUGGGAAGGCACAGACAGCCAGGAUGUUGGCUUAGAAGCAGCCAUCAUUUAAAGAAAGCGUAAUAGCUCACUGGUCGAGUCGGCCUGCGCGGAAGAUGUAACGGGGCUAAACCAUGCACCGAAGCUGCGGCAGCGACACUAUGUGUUGUUGGGUAGGGGAGCGUUCUGUAAGCCUGCGAAGGUGACCUGUGAGGGUUGCUGGAGGUAUCAGAAGUGCGAAUGCUGACAUAAGUAACGAUAAAGCGGGUGAAAAGCCCGCUCGCCGGAAGACCAAGGGUUCCUGUCCAACGUUAAUCGGGGCAGGGUGAGUCGACCCCUAAGGCGAGGCCGAAAGGCGUAGUCGAUGGGAAACAGGUUAAUAUUCCUGUACUUGGUGUUACUGCGAAGGGGGGACGGAGAAGGCUAUGUUAGCCGGGCGACGGUUGUCCCGGUUUAAGCAUGUAGGCUGGUUGUCCAGGCAAAUCCGGAUAAUCAAGGCUGAGGUGUGAUGACGAGGCACUACGGUGCUGAAGUAACAAAUGCCCUGCUUCCAGGAAAAGCCUCUAAGCAUCAGGUAACAUUAAAUCGUACCCCAAACCGACACAGGUGGUCAGGUAGAGAAUACCAAGGCGCUUGAGAGAACUCGGGUGAAGGAACUAGGCAAAAUGGUGCCGUAACUUCGGGAGAAGGCACGCUGGUGUGUAGGUGAAGUCCCUGCGGAUGGAGCUGAGACCAGUCGAAGAUACCAGCUGGCUGCAACUGUUUAUUAAAAACACAGCACUGUGCAAACACGAAAGUGGACGUAUACGGUGUGACGCCUGCCCGGUGCCGGAAGGUUAAUUGAUGGGGUUAUCCGUAAGGAGAAGCUCUUGAUCGAAGCCCCGGUAAACGGCGGCCGUAACUAUAACGGUCCUAAGGUAGCGAAAUUCCUUGUCGGGUAAGUUCCGACCUGCACGAAUGGCGUAAUGAUGGCCAGGCUGUCUCCACCCGAGACUCAGUGAAAUUGAACUCGCUGUGAAGAUGCAGUGUACCCGCGGCAAGACGGAAAGACCCCGUGAACCUUUACUAUAGCUUGACACUGAACAUUGAGCCUUGAUGUGUAG